RNAcentral lists this ribosomal RNA (620 nucleotides) under uncultured Pusillimonas sp. RNAcentral describes it as "bacterial SSU rRNA". It matches the Rfam family "Bacterial small subunit ribosomal RNA", at positions 428 to 1039 of the family's 1533-position model. Lineage: Bacteria; Pseudomonadati; Pseudomonadota; Betaproteobacteria; Burkholderiales; Alcaligenaceae. The record is from RNAcentral.
AAGCACUUUUGGCAGGGAAGAAAAGCCGCGGGCGAAUAGCGCGCGGCGCUGACGGUACCUGCAGAAUAAGCACCGGCUAACUACGUGCCAGCAGCCGCGGUAAUACGUAGGGUGCAAGCGUUAAUCGGAAUUACUGGGCGUAAAGCGUGCGCAGGCGGUUCGGCAAGAAGGAUGUGAAAUCCCGGGGCUUAACCUCGGAACUGCAUUCUUAACUGCCGGGCUAGAGUAUGUCAGAGGGGGGUAGAAUUCCACGUGUAGCAGUGAAAUGCGUAGAGAUGUGGAGGAAUACCGAUGGCGAAGGCAGCCCCCUGGGAUAAUACUGACGCUCAUGCACGAAAGCGUGGGUAGCAAACAGGAUUAGAUACCCUGGUAGUCCACGCCCUAAACGAUGUCAACUAGCUGUUGGGGCCUUCGGGCCUUAGUAGCGCAGCUAACGCGUGAAGUUGACCGCCUGGGGAGUACGGUCGCAAGAUUAAAACUCAAAGGAAUUGACGGGGACCCGCACAAGCGGUGGAUGAUGUGGAUUAAUUCGAUGCAACGCGAAAAACCUUACCUACCCUUGACAUGUCUGGAAUCCCGAAGAGAUUUGGGAGUGCUCGCAAGAGAACCGGAACACAGGU